Molecule: long non-coding RNA, 4851 nt
Filed under: Mytilus galloprovincialis (Mediterranean mussel)
Lineage: Eukaryota; Metazoa; Mollusca; Bivalvia; Mytilida; Mytilidae
Source: RNAcentral
CAUUGGGGUAUCUAGUUUAAAAAUUGUGUCCCGUGACCUGGCUAAACAACCAAGAUGGCCGCCAUUGCUAAAAAUAGAACAUAGGGGUGAAAUGUAGAUUUUGGCUUAAAACUCUGAAACCGCAGCCUUUAGAGCAAAUCUGACAUGGGGUAAAAUUGUUUAUCAGGUCAACAUCUAUCUGCCCUGAAAUUUUCAGAUGAAUCUGACAACCUGUUGUUGGGUUGCUGCCCCUGAAUUGGUAAUUUUAAGGAAAUUUUGCUGUUUUUGGUUAUUAUCUUGAAUUUAUAUUAAGAGAUAAACUGUAAACAUCAAUAAUGUUAAGCAAAGUAAGAUUUACAAAUAAGUCAACAUGACGGAAAUGGUCAAUUGACCCCUAAGGAGUUAUUGUCCUUUAUAGUCAAUUUUUAACAAUUUUCAUAAAAUUUGUAAAUUUUAACUAACAUUUUCCACUGAAACUACUGGGCCAAGUUCAUUAUAGAUAGAGAUAAUUGUAAGUAGCAAGAAUGUUCAGUAAAGUAAGAUGUACAAGCACAUCACCAUCACCAAAACACAAUUUUGUCAUGAAUCCAUCUGCUUCCUUUGUUUAAUAUUCACAUAGACCAAGGUGAGCGACACAGGCUCUUUAGAGCCUCUAGUUUUAUACAAAUAUGACCGUUGGUUUUCCUGUUUGAGUGGUUUAUCACUAGUAAUGUUUCUGUUCCUAUAUAGCGUGGUGUUCGCUGUGAGCCAAUGCUCCAUGUUUAAGGUCCUACUUCGAUCUGUAAUGGUUUACUUAAAACAAAUUAAUACUUUGAUGGAAAGUUGUCUCAUUCGAACUCAUGCACCAUCUUCUUAUAUCUAUAAAUCUUUAAAAUUUCUCCUUAUAAAUAACUGCUUUUCAGUCCUCCAAAAACGUCAUUUGGGUUCUGAAUCUUUUGUAAAGUGCAAUAUAAACUAGCACACUUCUAAAGAUUUAACGGUAACGAGAAGUUAUGAUGGUACAAGAACGAUUACGUCAACAAAUUACCAAAUAAACAGCACUGAACGAUCUAAAUUUAUAAAUAUAGAAAAGAUACGGAUUGUUAUUUUGCACUAAGAAAUGUUCGCGUAUUUAUACGAUCGGUUACUAGUCAAAAACUAAAGUCAAAUCUGUGUGGUCACGGUCAUCGCGAUGUAAAAGAGCGUCCAUGCGGCGAGCUGAUUAUGUUCAUAGAGAUAUCGAUUUACCAACGGGAAAAGUCUGUGAUAUCCCAAAAGAACUGUUUUCCUUGUCAAUAUUUUUUUGUCUAUGUUAAUAAUAAACACAUCUUCUGUUUGACAAGAUGUUUGAUUUUCGUUGUAUCUGAAGUUGUUCAAUUUAUAGUUUGAGGCUACUCAGUUGGUAUCUUCAAAGUUCGGGACAUCAGCAUUUGUACAUUUUUAAUUUGUUUGGAAUAUUUAUUUUACCAUUUGAAUAUUCAUUGUUAUUUGAAGCUGUCUUGGCUAUGUUGUGUCAUGUGUACUAUUGUUUUUCUGUUUGUCUUUUUCAUUUUUAGCCAUGGCGUUGUCAGUUUGUUUUAGAUUUAUGAGUUUGACUGUCCCUUUGGUAUCUUUCGUCCCUCUUGGAUUGUUUGAAUGAAUGCUUUUGUCGAGCUUUCGACUUUAGUCGAAAAAGCGAGACUAAGCGAUCCUACAUUCCGUCGUCGUCGGUGUCGUCGUCGUCGUCGGCGGCGUCCACAAUAUUCACUCUGUGGUUAAAGUUUUUGAAUUUGAAACUUUCUCAAACGAUCCUGGAUUUCUACCAAACUGGACAGAAGCUUGUUUUAUGAUCAAAGAUAGUAUCCAGAAGUAAAUUUGUAAAAAUAAAUUCAUUUUUUCCGUAUUUUACUUAUAAUGGACUUGUUUUUCUGCUGGGAAAUAUUACAUUCACUCUGUGGUUUAAAGUUUUUUAAAAUUUUAAUAACUUCUUAAACUAUCCUGGGUGGUAUCAAACUUUGACAGUAGAUUGUUUAGAUCAUAAGAUAGUACCAGAAUAAAUUUUGUAAAAAUAAAAUUCCAUUUUUCCGUAUUUUACUUAUAAAUGGACUUAGUUUUUCUGCUGGGAAAUAUUACAUUCACUCUGUGGUUAAAGUUUUUAAAAUUUUAAUAACUUUCUUAAACUAUCCUGGGUUGGUAUCAAACUUUGACAGUAGAUUGUUUAGGAUCAUAAGAUAGUAUCCAGAAGUAAAUUUUGUUAAAAAAAAAUCCAUUUUUCUGUAUUUACUUUUAAAUGGACUUAGUUUUCUGCCAGGAAACAAUACAUUCACUCUGUGGUUAACUUUUUUAAAUUUUUAAAAACUUUCUUAUGCUAUUUGGAUUUGUAACCAAACAUGGACAGAAGCUUGUUUAUGAGUAUCUCUAGAAGGAAAUUUUGUAAAAAAAAAUCCCUUUUUCUGUAUUUUACUUUUAAGUGACUUACAUUGCUGCGAAACAGCACAUUCACUCUGUGUUUACUUUUAAAAAUUUAAUAACUUUCUUAUACUAUUUUGGAUUUGUACCAAACUUGGAAAAAGCUUGUUUAUGAUCAAAAGUAGUAUCUAGACGGAAAUUUUGUUUUCUUUUAGUUAACAUUUCAUUCAGUGUGCAUUAAAUUUUUUAAUAUUUAUUACAUAAACUAUCCUGAUUUUUACCUAACUUGGACAGAAGCUUCUUACAAUCAAAAGAUAGUAUCAACAGGAAUAUUUUAUUGAUUUGUUCCUCAUUUUUGUUAGCUCACCUGGCCGAAGGGCCAAGUGAGCUUUUUCCCAUCACUUUGCGUCGGCGUCCGUCGUCGUUGUUAACUUUUACAAAAUCUUCUCCUCUGAAACUGUGGGCCAAAUUAAACCAAACUUGUCCACAAUCAUCAUUGGGGUAUCUAGUUUAAAAAAAUGUGUCCAGUGUCCGCCCAACCAACCAAGAUGGCCGCAUGGCUAAAAAUAGAACAUAGGGUAAUGCAGUUUUGGCUUAUAACUCAAAAAACCAAAGCAUUUAGAGCAAAUCUGCAGAAGUAAAAUUGUUGAUCAGGUCACGAUCUAUCUGCCCUGGAUUAUCAGAUGAAUCGGAUAAUCGGUUGUUGGGUUGCUGCCCCUGAAAUGGUAAUUUUUAAGGAAUUUUGCUGUUUUUGGUUAUUAUCUUGAAUAUUAUUACAGAUAGAGAUAACUGUAAACAACAAUAAUGUUCAGCAAAGGAAGAUCUACAAAUAAAGUCUCAUAACCAAAAUGGUCAGAUGACCACUUAAGGAUUAUUGCCUUUAUAGUAAAUUUUUAACCUUUUUCGUAAUCUUUAGUAAUCGUUUAGAAAAAUCUUCUCCUCUGUACUACUGGCCAAAUUUAAACCAAACUUGGCCAUAAUCAUCAUUGGGGUAUCUAGUUAAAAAAAUUGUCCAGUGCCCCGCCCAACCAACCAAGAUGGCCACCAUGGCUAAAAAUAGAAACAUAGGGGGUAAUAUGCAGUUUUUGCUUACAACUCAAAAACCAAGCAUUUUAGGCAAAUCUGACAGGAAGUAAAAUUGUUGAUCAGGUCACGAUCUAUCUACCCUGGAUUUUCAGAUGAAUCGGAUAAUCGUUGUUGGGUUGCUGCUCCUGAAUUGGUAAUUUUUAAGAAAUUUUGCUGUUUUUGGUAUUAUCUUGAAUAUUAUUAUAGAUAGAGAUAAACUGUAAACAGCAAUAAUGUUUCAGCAAAGUGGAUCUACAAAUAAGUCAACCAUGUCCAAAAUGGUCAGUUGACCACUUAAGAGUUAUUGCCCUUUAUAGUCAAUUUUUAACCAUUUUUCGUAAAUCUGAGUAAUCUUUUAGAAAAUCUUCUCCUCUGAAACUACUGGGCCAAAUUUAACCAAACUUGGCAUCAUUGGGGUAUCUAGUUUAAAAAAAUGUGUCCGGUGACCCGCCAACCAACCAAGAUGGCCGCCAUGGCUAAAAAUAGAACAUAGGGGUAAAAUGCAGUUUUGGGCUUAUAACUCAAAAACCAAAGCAUUUAGAGCAAAUCCUGACAUGUGUAAAAUUGUUUCAUCAGGUCAAGAUCUAUCUGCCCUGAAAUUUUCAGAUGAAUCGGACAUUCGUUGUUGGGUUUGCUGCCCCUGAAUGGUAAUUUUAAGGAAAUUUUGCUGUUUUUGGUUAUUAUCUUGAAUAUCAUUAUAGAUAGAGAUAAACUGUAAACAGCAAUAAUGUUCAGCAAAGUAAGAUCUACAAAUAAGUCAUCAUGAAAAAUGGUCAGUUGACCCUUUAGGAGUUAUUGCCCUUUAUAGUCAACAUUUUUAACCAUUUUCGUAAAUCUUAGUAAUCUUUAGAAAAAUCUUCUCCUCUGAAACUACUGGACCAAAUUAACCAAACUUGGCCACAAUCAUCAUUUGGGUAUCUAGUUUAAAAAUGUGUCCAGUGACCCGCCAACCAACCAGAUGGCCACCAUGGCUAAAAAUAGAACAUGGGGUAAAAUGCAGUUUUUGGCUUAUAACUCAAAAACCAAAGCAUUUAGAGCAAAUCUGACAGGAAGUAAAAUUGUUUGAUCAGGUCAAGAUCUAUCUGCCCUGAAAUUUUCAGAUGAAUCGGACAACCCGUUGUUGGGUUGCUGCCCUGAAUUGGUAAUUUAAGAAAAUUUUGCUGUUUUUUGUUAUUAUCUUGAAUAUUAUUAUAGAUAGAGAUAAACUGUAAACAGCAAUAAUGUACAGCAAAGUAAAGAACUACAAAGAUAAGUCAGUAUGACCAAAUAGUCAAUUGACCCCUAAGGAGUUAUUGCCCUUCAAGUCAAAUUUUUAACAAUUUUCUUAAAAUUUGAAGAUUUCAAUAAAUUUUCCACAGAAAGACUGUUAUAGAUAGAGAUAAUUGUAAGCAGCAAGAAUGUUUAGUAAAGUAAGAUCUACAAACACAUCACCAUCACCAA